UGCCUCUAGCUUUUAGCAAUCAUGAAUAAAGCUGCUAUAAACAUUCAUGUGCAGGUUUCUAAGCAGACAUAGUUUUCAACUCAUUUGGAUAACAGCAAGAAAGAGGAAACUCACUACUUUUGAAGUGACAAGUUCAAUUAGUGGAUGACUUGCACUCCUCGAAGCAAUGAUUGGAGACGGUGAAGCUGCGUAAAAUGAAAGAUACCUGGAUCCCUAAGUCACCACAUGGCAAAUAGCUGCCUGGCCUUCAUUUAACUUUGCCUGAGCAAGAAGCAAACUUUUAUGUGUUAAACUUCUGAGAGUUUAAGGUUUGUUUGUUCUUGCUGUGUAGACUACCCCAUCCGGAGUAUUAAAGCUGAAGAUUA
Molecule: long non-coding RNA, 365 nt
Filed under: Equus caballus (horse)
Lineage: Eukaryota; Metazoa; Chordata; Mammalia; Perissodactyla; Equidae
Description: lncRNA (ENSECAG00000058565.1)
Source: RNAcentral